CGUACCGACCCGCCUACCAGG
This 21-nucleotide microRNA is filed under the name Suid alphaherpesvirus 1. Its description in RNAcentral is "prv-miR-LLT6". Its record names the gene prv-miR-LLT6. The record is from miRBase by way of RNAcentral. Lineage: Duplodnaviria; Heunggongvirae; Peploviricota; Herviviricetes; Herpesvirales; Orthoherpesviridae.